GAUGGCCGGCACGCGGUGUCAACCAGGCCACCAUUCCUCUCCGCAUUAAAGCACUCGGUGGGGGAGGGUGCCCUGGUUGACACAAUGUGCCGCGCAUC
Molecule: microRNA precursor, 98 nt
Filed under: Human gammaherpesvirus 8
Lineage: Duplodnaviria; Heunggongvirae; Peploviricota; Herviviricetes; Herpesvirales; Orthoherpesviridae
Description: microRNA kshv-mir-K12 precursor (kshv-mir-K12-12)
Gene: kshv-mir-K12-12
Source: miRBase by way of RNAcentral